Molecule: ribosomal RNA, 496 nt
Filed under: uncultured bacterium
Lineage: Bacteria
Description: partial 16S ribosomal RNA
Rfam family: Bacterial small subunit ribosomal RNA
Source: RNAcentral
GAUGAACGCUGGCGGCGUGCCUAAUACAUGCAAGUCGAGCGAACGGACGAGAAGCUUGCUUCUCUGAUGUUAGCGGCGGACGGGUGAGUAACACGUGGAUAACCUACCUAUAAGACUGGGAUAACUUCGGGAAACCGGAGCUAAUACCGGAUAAUAUUUUGAACCGCAUGGUUCAAAAGUGAAAGACGGUCUUGCUGUCACUUAUAGAUGGAUCCGCGCUGCAUUAGCUAGUUGGUAAGGUAACGGCUUACCAAGGCAACGAUGCAUAGCCGACCUGAGAGGGUGAUCGGCCACACGGGAACUGAGACACGGUCCAGACUCCGACGGGAGGCAGCAGUAGGGAAUCUUCCGCAAUGGGCGAAAGCCUGACGGAGCAACGCCGCGUGAGUGAUGAAGGUCUUCGGAUCGUAAAACUCUGUUAUUAGGGAAGAACAUAUGUGUAAGUAACUGUGCACAUCUUGACGGUACCUAAUCAGAAAGCCACGGCUAACUACGU